Molecule: unclassified non-coding RNA, 402 nt
Filed under: soil metagenome
Description: partial contains 5.8S ribosomal RNA, internal transcribed spacer 2, and large subunit ribosomal RNA
Rfam family: 5.8S ribosomal RNA (bases 1-121)
Source: RNAcentral
GAUGAAGAACGCAGCGAAAUGCGAUAAGUAAUGUGAAUUGCAGAAUUCAGUGAAUCAUCGAAUCUUUGAACGCACCUUGCGCCCUUUGGCUAUUCCGAAGGGCAUGCCUGUUUGAGUAUCGUGAACACCUCAACUCUCAUGGUUUGCCAUGAUGAGCUUGGACUUUGGGGGUUUUGCUGGCCUUUGGUCGGCUCCUCUCAAACGGAUCAGCUUUCCAGUGUUUGGUGGCGUCACGGGUGUGAUAACAAUCUACGCCUGUGGUUUUCUGCCAGAUAACCUUCAGCGAUGGAGGUUCGCUGGGGCUCAUAAAUGUCUCUCUUCAGUGGAGACAGCUUUUUGGACGUUUGAUCUCAAAUCAGGUAGGACUACCCGCUGAACUUAAGCAUAUCAAUAAGCGGAGGA